GACGAACGCUGGCGGCGUGCUUAACACAUGCAAGUCGAACGGAAAGGCCCUGCUUGCAGGGUGCUCGAGUGGCGAACGGGUGAGUAACACGUGGGUGAUCUGCCCCUUACUUUGGGAUAAGCCUGGGAAACUGGGUCUAAUACUGGAUAGGACCAUGCUGUAGGUGGUGUGGUGGAAAGAUUAGUUUCGGUAAGGGAUGAGCUCGCGGCCUAUCAGCUUGUUGGUGGGGUAAUGGCCUACCAAGGCGUCGACGGGUAGCUGGCCUGAGAGGGUGGACGGCCACAUUGGGACUGAGAUACGGCCCAGACUCCUACGGGAGGCAGCAGUGGGGAAUAUUGCACAAUGGGCGCAAGCCUGAUGCAGCGACGCCGCGUGGGGGAUGACGGCCUUCGGGUUGUAAACUCCUUUCAGCCAUGACGAAGCCCUUGUGGUGACGGUAGUGGUAGAAGAAGCACCGGCUAACUACGU
This 468-nucleotide ribosomal RNA is filed under the name uncultured bacterium. RNAcentral describes it as "partial 16S ribosomal RNA". It matches the Rfam family "Bacterial small subunit ribosomal RNA", at positions 28 to 506 of the family's 1533-position model. The record is from RNAcentral.